RNAcentral lists this ribosomal RNA (587 nucleotides) under uncultured bacterium. RNAcentral describes it as "partial 16S ribosomal RNA". It matches the Rfam family "Bacterial small subunit ribosomal RNA", at positions 355 to 1375 of the family's 1533-position model. The record is from RNAcentral.
UGGGGAAUUUUGGACAAUGGGCGAAAGCCUGAUCCAGCAAUGCCGCGUGUGUGAAGAAGGCCUUCGGGUUGUAAAGCACUUUUGUCCGGAAAGAAAUCCUUGGCUCUAAUACAGUCGGGGGAUGACGGUACCGGAAGAAUAAGCACCGGCUAACUACGUGCCAGCAGCCGCGGUAAUACGUAGGGUGCAAGCGUUAAUCGGAAUUACUGGGCGUAAAGCGUGCGCAGGCGGUUUGCUAAGACCGAUGUGAAAUCCCCGGGCUCAACCUGGGAACUGCAUUGGUGACUGGCAGGCUAGAGUAUGGCAGAGGGGGGUAGAAUUCCACGUGUAGCAGUGAAAUGCGUAGAGAUGUGGAGGAAUACCGAUGGCGAAGGCAGCCCCCUGGGCCAAUACUGACGCUCAUGCACGAAAGCGUGGGGGAGCAAAACAGGAUUAGAUACCCUGGUAGUCCACGCCCUAAAACGAUGUCAACUAGUUGUUGGGGAUUCAUUCCUUAGUAACGUAGCUAACGCGUGAAGUUGACCGCCUGGGGAGUACGGUCGCAAGAUUAAAACUUAAAUGAAUUGACGGGGUCAUAGCUGUUUCCU